UGCCAUAUCACCCUGAAACACUGGUUCUCGUACGAUCAUCGAAGAUAAGCAACGUCGAACCUGGUCACUACUUAAAUGGGUGACCGCUUGGGAAUGCU
This is a non-coding RNA of Acanthosepion pharaonis, 98 nucleotides long. Lineage: Eukaryota; Metazoa; Mollusca; Cephalopoda; Sepiida; Sepiidae. The record is from the annotation of a GenBank genome assembly.